RNAcentral lists this ribosomal RNA (508 nucleotides) under uncultured bacterium. RNAcentral describes it as "partial 16S ribosomal RNA". It matches the Rfam family "Bacterial small subunit ribosomal RNA", at positions 28 to 523 of the family's 1533-position model. The record is from RNAcentral.
GAUGAACGCUAGCUACAGGCUUAACACAUGCAAGUCGAGGGGAAACGAUAGAGAAAGCUUGCUUUUUCUAGGCGUCGACCGGCGCACGGGUGAGUAACGCGUAUCCAACCUGCCCAUCACUUGGGGAUAACCUUGCGAAAGUAAGACUAAUACCCAAUGACGUCCAUAGAAGACAUCUGAAAGGGAUUAAAGAUUUAUCGGUGAUGGAUGGGGAUGCGUCUGAUUAGCUUGUUGGCGGGGUAACGGCACACCAUGGCGACGAUCAGUAGGGGUUCUGAGAGGAAGGUCCCCCACAUUGGAACUGAGACACGGUCCAAACUCCUACGGGAGGCAGCAGUGAGGAAUAUUGGUCAAUGGGCGAGAGCCUGAACCAGCCAAGUAGCGUGCAGGAUGACGGCCCUAUGGGUUGUAAACUGCUUUUAUAAGGGAAUAAAGUGAGCCUCGUGAGGCUUUUUGCAUGUACCUUAUGAAUAAGGACCGGCUAAUUCCGUGCCAGCAGCCGCGGUAA